This is a long non-coding RNA of Scylla paramamosain (green mud crab), 865 nucleotides long. RefSeq lists it as uncharacterized. The transcript is spliced from 2 exons. The record is from RefSeq and is a predicted model, not a curated record. Lineage: Eukaryota; Metazoa; Arthropoda; Malacostraca; Decapoda; Portunidae.
GCCAGGAGGGAGUAGGAGGUGGAGGGGAAGGAAGGGUCGUGGUGGUGGUGGUGGUGGGUCGUGUGAGGUACGUGGGUUUCAUGUGGUGUGGUGUGGUGUGGUGUGGUUGAGGUUGGUUGAGUUAAGUUGGAUUGGGUUGGUUUGAGUUACGUUUUGGUUUAAGAGAGUUAGGUCAUGUUGGGAUGGGUCAGGUCAGGGUGGGUUAUGUCAUGUUACGUUAGGUUAGGUUAGAAUAGGUUACAGUGUGUUGAUAAUUUAGAAGUUAGAAUGUGUUAUGUUACGUUAGGUUAGGUUAGGUUAGGUUAGGUUAGGUUAGGUUAGGUUAGGUUAGGUUAUGUUAGGUUAUGUUAGGUUAGGUUAGGUUAGGUUAUGUUGGAUUAGGUUAGGUUAGGUUAGGUUAGGUUGGGUUAGGUUAGGUUAUGUUAGGUUAGGUUAGGUUAGGUUAGGUUAGGUUAGGUUAGGUUGGGUUAGGUUAGGUUAGGUUAGGUUGGGUUAGGUUAGGUUAGGUUAGGUUAGGUACGUCAAGGUAUUUAAAGUGUGUUGGGAAUAUGUUAGGGUGUGGUAGAGUGCGUUAGGGUGUUUUUAGGGUGAGUCGAAUAUCGUUGAGGUGUAUCAUGAUUUAUUAGGGUGAGGGAUUAAGACAGGAUUAGGUCAGAAGGGGUCAAAUUAGGGUGUUAGAGUGAGUUUAGGGUGCGUUAGAGUGAUUUCAGGGUGUAUUAGAGUGAGUUUGUUACGUUCAAGUUUGUCAGGGUGUGUUAGGAUCAGGAAAGAGAGUUUAAAUGAGUUUAGGAUGAGUUAGGGUGUGUUAGGGUGAGUUAGUUUGGUUAAAGUUUGUUAGGGUGAGUUAGGAUUAGCAAAGGGAGAU